Molecule: non-coding RNA, 23 nt
Filed under: Rattus norvegicus (Norway rat)
Lineage: Eukaryota; Metazoa; Chordata; Mammalia; Rodentia; Muridae
Source: RNAcentral
UAGUUUAGGAUGGCCUCGGAUUA